CCUCCCUCCCCGCUUGCCAGUCUACCUCUUUCCCCAAAGGCCCCUCCUAAUCCCUCGCUCCUCGCCGCGGGAGGCCCUAAGCUGGCUUUUCAGGCUCUUUCCUCAGCGCGCUCUGGCUCUCGGCUCUUUCAAUGCCGCUCCCUGGCAGGAGACGUGUUGGACAAGUGGAGGGAUCCGUCCCCCGCCAGCAAGGUCAAGGUGCGCUUAAAGGCAGCUUCUUCUCUCGACUGGGCGGCGGGCGCCGAUGGGCCAGCUUUGAAGAAGCGCAGGAACAAUACCAAGAGUUUCCAUGUAGAUCAGAGAUUCCAAAGGCUCCAAAAGCUUUAGCUAUGGCUACCAAAACCACUCCAAAAACUACUGUACCACUACACUGGUUUUUUUAUAUGAUGGGAAAAUAUUAAAUACAUGGAGAAUAGCUAUUUAAUUAAAAUCAAAAUUAACUUUU
Pantherophis guttatus is the source of this 445-nucleotide non-coding RNA. The record is from RefSeq and is a predicted model, not a curated record. Lineage: Eukaryota; Metazoa; Chordata; Lepidosauria; Squamata; Colubridae.